GACAAUCUAAAAUGCAAAUGUGAAUUAUUGAAUAGAAAGUUGUCUGGAAAAACAUGACAAAAUUUUAACAUUACUGUGUAAAAAGAUCAGAAAAGAAGGUAUGCUGCCACUUUCUGCCUUUAAAACUUUAAAGGUAUUUCAGAAGCAACAUUUAAACAGCAGAGGAAAUUUUAAAGAUACAACCAAUUUGUGCCUGUCUUCAUCGUUACCUAUUGGCAUCUCGGGAGUUUUGGGCUGUUGUAUCCAACUUUGUAUUCCCAGUGACUGUUACAAAUAGUUUUUGAGUGAUCAUGAAGAGCGUGUGACUUAGAUACCAGUGCUAGUGCGGCAAAGAGUUUUACACAGUGAAACAGAAUAUUGGACUAUCCAUGGAAAGAAGGGAGAAGAUGGCAUUUGAGGUGAACAUGAUGAAAGAAAGACAUAACAUGAAGAUAACCUGAGGAUGUCUGACAUCAUCAGGAACAUUCUUCCUGUGAAGUUCCUUAAUUUAUAAAUCUCAACUGUAAACCAUAGGGAGAUGAUAGUUCCAAGAAAAGACACUUUUGCCAUCUUUGUUUUUAAUCUCAAUAAUUGGUACCAUGAGACUUGUUGCAGUAUUCCUCUUUUCAAGUGUUCAUCACUCCCAUCCAUCCCUGGGCCCAGGAGAACCCCUUGGCGAUAACGAUUGUGUGAUGACUGAAUAGGAAAAACUGAUGCCAUUGCUUCUGCCACCAUCUUCAGUAAAACCAAAGACAGUCUUCAUAAUGUACAGAGAUUCCUCAUUGAUGUGUUGCAAUGGACACUCCCUGUAGAUCACAAAAACAGGCUGAGAAGGCUGAAGAUUCAAAGUGACCUAAAGGGUGAUAUUGGAGAGAACUGUAACCAGGCAUGUUGACUGUUUUCAUUGUUGCCAUUGGACUAAAUCUCAGGAGCUUGAAUGAUGGAGGCAUUAUUACACAGAGAAGCUCAGGAUGGUAUAAUUUCAAGGCUUCAUUACAGUGCUCCCAUAAGUAUUAGGUGCACAUUUUAAAAAUUUUCAUUUAUCACAGGGAAAUUUAAAAUUGACUCAAAAAAUCAUCUUUUUCAAGAUUUCAAAGGACAUGGAAAUUUGUGAAGUAUAAUAUUUUACUUACAUGCCUUUUUUUCCUCUUCUAAUUCUGCCACCUCUGUGUUAUCUACUAUUAAUGAAAUUUUGUGCACAUCCUUUUGGGUGUAUUGAUAAAUUAAUAUGCAAGUUAUUUUUGGGGGAGUCUAUAUACUAGCUACAAAUUUUCUACACAGUAAACAUGGUUUAUAUAUAAAUUGUAAAUUUAUCCAACUAAUUUGUUGAAAUAAUUCCAAUGAAUUGGAACUGCUAGGACUAAGGGUAUCCAAAAUUUAUAGUUUUGAGUCCAAACUAGUUUUCCCUACUAUACAGACAGGACUUCAUCAAUCUUGUUCCCCAGUGUUUAUGUGGGUACAUUUCCUAAAACUGUACAAAUGUUACAUUUUUAAUCUUUGGUAAUAUGGUAUUACAAAGAAAUUGCUUUUCUUUUGUUACUGUUCAG
This is a long non-coding RNA of Mesoplodon densirostris (Blainville's beaked whale), 1526 nucleotides long. RefSeq lists it as uncharacterized. The record is from RefSeq and is a predicted model, not a curated record. Lineage: Eukaryota; Metazoa; Chordata; Mammalia; Artiodactyla; Ziphiidae. The transcript is spliced from 4 exons.